RNAcentral lists this long non-coding RNA (846 nucleotides) under Nicotiana benthamiana. RNAcentral's name for it is "long non-coding RNA (NBEN_LNC012840)". Lineage: Eukaryota; Viridiplantae; Streptophyta; Magnoliopsida; Solanales; Solanaceae. The record is from RNAcentral.
UCUUUGGAACUAGAUAAUAUGAGCAAGAUUUCCCUAACUUCAAUUUUCUUGGUCUACAUACUAUUGGCUGUAAUUGGUAUAAUGAUCUUCAUUAAUCUUUGUCCAUUCAGUAUCUCCUAUGUGUUUUUUUUUAAAAUCUUUCGUAUAUAGAGUCAUCAAACUCCCUUUUUUUGUCACUAAAGUUGUUUGAUUUUGUUACAUUUUAAAAAAAAAAACUCUAAUCUUUGGUUACUAUCUGAUGCAAAUAUUUCAUCAUAAGAUGUUACCUAAAUUUCUGAUACGAGUAAUCUUCCACUUUUUUAUAUGAAGAAAAAGGGAGUCGAUAUUUUCUUCUCUUUCUUAUAAUGAGUAAAUCACUUUUCCUUUACAAGAAUUAGGCUUGUUACAGUUGACCCCAUAUAUUUUCAUAAUAUGCUAUAUUAUAUAAGUAUUUCUUAUUAUUGACUUAAUAUAAGUUAUUAUUUGUUUGUUUUUGUCUCUCACCAUAAUUAAAUACUUAAUCAUCCCUAUUUAUUUUUGAAACUGAGCCUAAAAAUGACAUUUAAUUUUGUUGAAGGUUCAUCAUGCUUGGAAGUAUCAGCUCAACAUGAGUGUAAUGAUUGGAAGCAGUGUAAGGUUUACUGCUUUCCAUAUCAACCACACUGCAGAAGUGGACAUUGUAUAUGUGGAGCUGUGAACAACUAUCAACCUGCAACUGAAACAAGUACUGUUGGCCGAAAAUCAUUACAACAUUAGAUUUUAUUAUGCAAAAAUAAUAUUACUCAAUAGCUUACCUAUUGUGACUCAAUGAUUGAAUCAGGGAGGCUCUCUAUGAAGAACUUAUGACAACUCUAAAUUAAAUGAUUA